GGACUGCUGUGACCCUUCAGCCCGUAUUUACAGAUAAACUUUAUACCUCAUUCGAAAGCGUAUUAAGAGAGGAACAAAAGGUAUAUAAUCAAUAUAUUUCGCAACGUUCAUAACAAACGACAUUGUGUGUACUCGAUUAUGCUUUCAAACAACCGUUGCAAGUAGUAACCGUUGCAACGAACGGUUUGUGAUUAAGAUUUAUUUCCCUUGAAAUUGCACAGACAUAAACAAGCUAAAAAUAAAAUAUUUUCAUAUUUUUUUCAAAUAAUCGCC
This 273-nucleotide long non-coding RNA is filed under the name Mytilus galloprovincialis (Mediterranean mussel). The record is from RNAcentral. Lineage: Eukaryota; Metazoa; Mollusca; Bivalvia; Mytilida; Mytilidae.